Molecule: long non-coding RNA, 6401 nt
Filed under: Glycine max (soybean)
Lineage: Eukaryota; Viridiplantae; Streptophyta; Magnoliopsida; Fabales; Fabaceae
Description: long non-coding RNA (GMAX_LNC002725)
Source: RNAcentral
CAUCCCUUCACAACCCUGCAUCACAUAAUCUUAUGGUCCCGAGUCCUAGCCAGUCACAAUUUAUUCGUAGCCAUCCCUACAAUGAUUUGAUCGAGAAAUUUGUGAGCAUGGGAUUUAGAGGCAAUCAUGUAGCAAGCAUUAUCCAGAGGAUGGAGGAAACUCAGCAACCUAUAGAUUUUAACUCUGUACAUGACCGGUUGAAUGUGCAUAAUCCCCAGAGGGGAUGGUCAGGGUAAAGAACUUGUACUGCAUAUACCGUUUGAACAAUGGUGUGCACCAAAUUCUGUUUGAACAGUGUUAUCCUGCAUGUCCUGUAUAAACAAUGUUGUCUCCGUUCAAACCCUCAAAUCAUUGCGUGUUUUAGUAUGCAUGUAAUAACAAACCUUGAUGUAAUGUGCACUGUAUUAUCGUAUAUAGCAUAUAUUAUAUACAAGAUUUAGUGUCGAUUCAGUGAACGGAAUUGAAUGUUGUUAAAUUAUUUGAAGUUGAAUCAUUUAAAAUCAACCCGUGCAAAGUAACUCAGCAAUGGUAACCUAAAACUGUUGCGUGUAACAAGUGCUUGUCAUUCAUAACCAUUUUCUUUUAUUCUAUUGGUCACUACAUUUUUGGUUAUUUUACAUUUGAUUCAACCGGUUUGGUCUGAUUAACGGAGAAUUAAUCUUGCGUCACCAAAUCAAUUAAGAGUUUACUUCUAAGUAGGUUCUUAUUUUUUUAUUUUUUUUUGAGUUCAUAAACUAAAAAGAGCAUAGGUUUUUGAAGUUAGUUUAUGAUAGCUUGAAACUGUUAUGAAAAUUCUAAAAACUCAAGAGAUUUAAUUAAAAAAAUAUAUGAUCAAGGAUUUUAUUUAUUUUUAUUUUAUUUCACAUAUUUGAAAAUUUUCGAAUAGUUCAAGCAUUAAUCGAGUAAUUUAACUUAUAAAAUAUUCUAAAAUAUUUAUUACAAAUUUUAUGUAUAACAAUUUAUAAUUCGAUGAUAACAUCCAAAAUUUGUAUGAGUACAUUAUAGUUAAAUUCUAUUUUUAUGACUUUUUUUAUUUGUUCAUCACAUGCUUUUUUUUCUUGUUUUGAAUUUAUUUUUUCUAAUCAUGAUAUUAAUACAAAAUAAUCUCCAAUAAAAAUAAUGAUUAAUGUUUGUCGAAGAAUAUAAAUGCUGACAACAUAAAUAUUUUUUCUUUAUCUUUUCAUCACAUUCUUCUCUUUUUUUCUUCUGUUAUUUCUCUUUAUUGAAAACAAAUUAUGCACAUUUAUUGUAUAAGUAUACUUCUGUUCAUUUCUCAAUUGAAGGAGCUAAGUGCUAACCGCAAGGCUGUCAAGGCAUAGCUUCAUAGGUAUAGAAAAGGAAGAGAGAGAAAAAAGAAAAGAAAAGAAGAACUCAACGUGGUAACUGGUAACUAACUAACCCGCCUUUUGUUGAUUUGUUCUUUCCGCGCUAUAACCGUUACACUUCCCACCAGGCAAGACAAACCAUGUAGUGUAGACCAACAUCUUUAUGGAAUCAUUGUCCUUAAUGAAACAAAAAAAGGGACAUUUGCACAUCUUUAUAUAUGAUCCCAGUAAAUGAAUGAGUUUGAUACUGUUCUUAAUUUUAAUACAUUGCCACAUCUUUACAGUAAUGCCCAAAAAAUAUGUUCUUAAUUUUAAUUAUAUUUUGUAUGUUCUUAUAUAUUUUUAGAAUAAUUGGUCAUGGUAUGUGAUAAUAUACUGCAUCUGUGGAUCAUAGCAGGUUGGUUUCCGUGGAGACAAUUGGGCUUGGAGUGAGGGAACACAUUUUUACCGGUUCUGUUUCCUCUCUUGUAUGGUUCAUGUCAGGUCAAGAAACGAGUUUUGUCACAUUGGGGCAGAGGGUUUUGGCAAACCCUCUCAAAGUUCAAAUGCAUUAUGGCCACCCUGAUGUGUUUGACAGGUUUUGGUUCAUAACUAGAGGUGGUGGCAUCAGCAAAGCCUCAAGAGUGAUCAGCAUAAGCGAGGACAUCUUUGCCGGCUUUAACUGCACACUUCGUGGAGGUAAUGUCACGCAUCAUGAAUACAUUCAGGUUGGAAAAGGAAGGGAUGUUGGAUUGAACCAAAUAUCAAUGUUUGAAGCAAAGGUUGCAAGUGGAAAUGGGGAGCAAGUACUAAGCAGAAAUGCGUAUAGAUUGGGCCAUAGGCUUGAUUUUUUUCGUAUGUUGUCAUUCUUCUACACUACAGUGGGGUUCUUUUUCAACACAAUGAUGGUGGUUCUCACCGUAUAUGUAUUCUUAUGGGGCAGAUUGUUGCUUGCUCUUAGUGGCAUUGAAGAUGCUAUGGAAAGUAACAGCAACAACAACAAAGCACUAGGUAUAAUCUUGAAUCAGUAGUUCAUAGUCCUAAUUGGACUUUUCACUACCCUUCCAAUGAUUGUGGAGAAUUCCCUUGAACAAGGGUUCCUUCAAGCUGUUUGGGACUUCUUGACCAUGCAGCUCCAACUUUCAUCAGUUUUCUACACGUUCUCUAUGGGCACAUGCAGCCACUUCUUUGGAAGAAUCAUCUUGCAUGGUGGAGCAAAAUACCGAGUCACGGGGCGUGUCUUUGUAGUGGAGCAUAAGAGUUUUGCAGAAAACUAUAGACUCUAUGCUCGCAGCCAUUUUAUGAAAGCAAUUGAACUGGGGCUAAUAGUAACAGUUUAUGCAUCACACAGCACUGUAGCAACUGACACGUUUGUUUACAUUACCAUGACCUUCUCUAGUUGGUUCUUGGUUGCAUCAUGGAUCAUGGCACCGUUUGUGUUCAAUCCUUCUGGCUUUGACUGGUUGAAAACUGUGUAUGAUUUUGAUGACUUCAUAAACUGGAUUUGGCACCGCCAAAGGGUGUUUGCUAAAGCUGAACAAAGCUGGGAAAAAUGGUGGUACGAAGAGCAAGGUCAUCUUAAGGUAACCGGCUUUAAUUUUGGAGAUAAUUUUAGACCUUCGGUUCUUCAUAUUCCAAUAUGGAAUUGCCUAUCAGCUAGGCAUAGCCGCUAGAAGCACCAGCGUUAUUGUUUACUUGCUAUCUUGGGUUUAUGUGUUUGUUGUGUUUGGGACCAUGUGGUGGUAGCUUAUGCUCAGAAUGAAUAUGAAGCAAAACACCACAUCUAUUACCGGUUGGUCCAAUUCAUUCUCAUAGUUAUUGCCAUACUUGUGAUAGUUGCAUUGAUGAAAUUCACUGAAUUCAAAUUCAUGAACAUUUUUACUAGCUUGGUGGCAUUCAUUCCCACAGGAUGGGGUAUGAUAUUGAUUGCACAACAGGCUAUAUUUGCAGUGCACCAUAGUUUGGAAUGUUGUUGUUUCCUUGGCUCGUUUAUAUGAUAUAUUAUUUGGGGUCAUUGUUAUGGCCCUUUGGCUCUCCUAUCGUGGUUGCCAGGGUUUCAGCCUAUGCAAACAAGGAUUCUAUUCGAUGAAUCAUUCAGUAGGGGCCUUCGAAUUUCCAGAUUGUUACGGGAAAAAGUCAUUGUGAUUAAGGGUAUUUUUUUGUUGUUCAUGUUUGUAUGGUUGUAAUUGUUUUUGUAUGCCAAUCAUUUACUGAUAGACUUAAUUUCACAAACCAUUUUUUUUCUGCUGUUGAAUGAGAGGCAGGCAUUGAGUUUCUACAACUAUUAAUGACAUGAACCUUGAGCUUGUUAUUUUGUUUAAUAAUAUGAAUUUGUCUGUCUUGUUUUUUCUGGGUAUUAAGCUGGAAGAAUAUUGGUUGUUGAAAACUUUUUUUUGUGUGUGUGUGUUUGCAAUUGAUAAGAAUCAUAAGAUAUCGAUGAUAUUUUAUAUGGGCAAAUAUUUGGUAUGAUUUGUUUUCAUGGGCUUCCAAUUCCUGGGUCUUUUUUUUUUUUAAUUAUUUGUUUUUCUUUUUGUGAUGGUACGCUACAAACUGGAAAGCAUCUUUACAAAGGGAGUUAUUUUUGCAAACUUUUUUUUUUCUCUCUCUCCACACGUUUACGAUUAUUUUUAAUGUUUUUAAAAUUAGAAUGGUUAUUUAAUUGGUCGAGACACUUGUUUAAAGUCGAAUUGCAGACAAAUUGAUGAUGAUGAUACAUAAAAUAUUAUUAUAAAAAUAUAAUAUCAUAAUUUUACAAUGUUAAAAACUAAAAAUAUAAUAUAAUUUAUAUAUUCUUAACAUUCAAAGUACACAAAAAGGUUGAGAACAAAUAUAUCAUAAUAUUUAGAUAUAUGCAUGAUUCAGUAAUACACUACAUUAUUUAUUAUUAAUAAUAAAUUUACAUCUAGAAUAAAAAAAUAUAAAAAAGACUUUAGGCUAAAAAAUUUUCAAGAAAAAAAUUAAAAUAAUGUUAUAUUAAGCAUAUCUUUUUAUUAAUUUAAUUUGAAUUGUUUUUUGCAAGUUUUUACUUUUUUUUUGCCGAUUUUUCUAGUUCUUUGACGAUUUACCCAUUUUUCUCGGGCUCAGUUCAAUGAUUUAUUAUUUGAGGUGGAUACUUGACAGAUUAACUGGUUUUUUGAACCCAGUUUUUGGAACACUAAUUUUUGUAACUUUUUAAAAAAUUAAUUUUUGAAAUGGAAAUAUGGUAGGAUGCAUUUUCAUAGGUGCCUUCCUGAUCAUGCACGUUGGAGCUUUGAUUUUUGAAAUUGUCAUUAUAACUGAACAUUUGAUUCUUUUUCCUAAGUGGUUUGUUAUUGGUGAUUUGAAUAUUUAAGCAUACAUGGAAAGUAAUACUGAUAUUACAUAUUCGAUGCAUGUGCAUGGAUCUGUGGUCUCAUUGUUCUGAAAUUUCUUUUUUGUCUUUAUCAUAUGAUAUUUUGAUGGUUGCUAAUUGCUGAUUUGAAUAUUGAAGCAUUUAUGGGAAGAAAUAUAUAGUAUAGGAUGGAUGUGUACAGCAAGGUUACAAAUCGUGAAUCCAUCGCGCUAAGCUAAUUUUUUAAUUGGGGAUCGAUCAUAGAAUCGGGAACAUGUAUUAAAGUGUGUACUAGCGGAUAUCAAUAGUACUUAUUUGUGAAAAUGUGAAAAAGAAAUAUUUGUGAAGAUCAAAUAUAUAUUUAACACCUAGUAUGUAAGAGAAAGAGAUAGAGAAGAGAUUUUUUUUUUGUUGAAUAGAAAAGACAAAUAUAAAUAUAAUAGAUUAUUUAAUGUAAUAAUGAAGAAAAAAAUUAUGUAUUAAUGAGAUGUUUAGAGUGGAUGAAUGUUGAUGAAUCAUUAUUCAUUGUUCAAUAAUAAAUUCGCACUUUCUGUCAAAAACAAAAAUAAAUGGGCACUGGAAAAUGGAGUGGGGGAAAAUUACUGUCCCAACCUGUGCCAUUAUCAUUUAUCUAUGUCUGAGUGUCUGAGAGAGAAUUGGAAUGGGGUGGUGAGUGUACUACUUGAAGUGGGGGAAUAUAUAAAGGCAGUAUUUCAUAAUGGGGAGAGCAGCCAUUGCAAUUCCAUCAUAAUUAUUAAGUUUAGAUUGAAUAGGUUGGUUUCACUAAAAGUUUAUCUAAGUUAUAAGUUACUUAAGUUAUAAAAUAUAGUAAAUAAACUUAUUUAUCAAACACUUUUAAUUUGAUUAUACAAGCUUGUAAACUAAUUAAAUAAGUUAUAAAAUGAUUGUCUUGACAAAAACUUAUUUAUCUUUUUAAUUGUGUAUAUUUAAUUUCAGAUAAUUUAGAUAUAUAUUAGUAUAUUAUAUAUAUAUUUUUUGGUUACAUGUAUAUUAUAUAUUUAGCAAUAGAUAUUUAUUUAUAUUUUAAAUAAUAUACCAUCUAUCAAAUAAUUAGUAUAAUAAGGUACCAAAUAAUUUUUUCUUAAAUAUAUUUUUAGUCGUUCAAUUAAAAUUAAAAUUUGAAGGUUUAUUAUUUUUAGUCUUCCAAAUUAAAACUUAUAUGUUUUAUUUUUUAGUUCCUUAAAUUUGUAAAAUGUGUUUUUUAAUUCCUUUUGCAGUAAAAAAAUUAUCACAAAUUAUACAUUCAAGCCUUAAAAAAUAGUCAGAAAGUAUUAAAAAACUAUUUUGAGAAUUUAAGAACUAAAAAACAUAAAUUUUAAUUUGAUGGACUAAAAGAGACAGACCCCAAAUUUGAUGUAACUAAAAUAUAUUUAAACUUUUAUUUUUUUAUAUACAUAAAAUUUUCUAAACUUAAUAUUAAAAAACUUUUAAUUUAAACAUAUUUUAUGAGAAGUAAUACACCCUCAACUAAGGAUAAAGUUGUGUGUCCAUCCUAAAAUUGACAUAAAUAGGUGUGAAAAAAAAAUGGAAUAUAAAAUAAUUGAGACAAAAAAAAUAAAAUAAGUAUAAGUGUAUGAAUAUAAUUAGAUGUAAUACCUCCAAUGAUAGCAGCGGCAAUAUUUUGCAUGUGGCCAGCGAGGUUCACUUGCAGUCCUUUAUAGCUUUGUUUCUUCGUCUUCUCUUCCCUCGUGGAAUGUAGCUUUGUCUUCUCUUACUUAUAUACAACUGAAGAGAUAUAUAUGCUGUUUUGUAUUGGUUCUGAUUCU